Non-coding RNA from Bos taurus (domestic cattle), 72 nucleotides. NCBI's taxonomy places the organism in Eukaryota, Metazoa, Chordata, Mammalia, Artiodactyla, Bovidae. The record is from Rfam.
UCGCUGGCAGUCCAGUGGCUAAGACUCUGCGCUAACAAUGCAGGAGUCCAGGUUCCAUCCCUGGUCAGGGAA